UAGGGAAUCUUCGGCAAUGGGGGCAACCCUGACCGAGCAACGCCGCGUGAGUGAAGAAGGUUUUCGGAUCGUAAAGCUCUGUUGUAAGAGAAGAACGUGUGUGAGAGUGGAAAGUUCACACAGUGACGGUAACUUACCAGAAAGGGACGGCUAACUACGUGCCAGCAGCCGCGGUAAUACGUAGGUCCCGAGCGUUGUCCGGGUUUAUUGGGCGUAAAGCGAGCGCAGGCGGUUUAAUAAGUCUGAAGUUAAAGGCAGUGGCUUAACCAUUGUUCGCUUUGGAAACUGUUAAACUUGAGUGCAGAAGGGGAGAGUGGAAUUCCAUGUGUAGCGGUGAAAUGCGUAGAUAUAUGGAGGAACACCGGUGGCGAAAGCGGCUCUCUGGUCUGUAACUGACGCUGAGGCUCGAAAGCGUGGGGAGCAAACAGG
This 429-nucleotide ribosomal RNA is filed under the name bacterium. Its description in RNAcentral is "partial 16S ribosomal RNA". It matches the Rfam family "Bacterial small subunit ribosomal RNA", at positions 355 to 776 of the family's 1533-position model. The record is from RNAcentral.